RNAcentral lists this ribosomal RNA (558 nucleotides) under uncultured bacterium. Its description in RNAcentral is "bacterial SSU rRNA". It matches the Rfam family "Bacterial small subunit ribosomal RNA", at positions 338 to 914 of the family's 1533-position model. The record is from RNAcentral.
CCUACGGGAGGCAGCAGUGGGGAAUCUUGGACAAUGGGGGCAACCCUGAUCUAGCCAUGCCGCGUGAGUGAAGAAGGCCCUAGGGUCGUAAAACUCUUUCGCCUGUGAUGAUAAUGACAGUAGCAGGUAAAGAAACCCCGGCUAACUCCGUGCCAGCAGCCGCGGUAAUACGGAGGGGGUUAGCGUUGUUCGGAAUUACUGGGCGUAAAGCGCGCGUAGGCGGAUUAGAAAGUUGGGGGUGAAAUCCCGGGGCUCAACCCCGGAACUGCCUCCAAAACUGCUAGUCUAGAGUUCGAGAGAGGUGAGUGGAAUUCCGAGUGUAGAGGUGAAAUUCGUAGAUAUUCGGAGGAACACCAGUGGCGAAGGCGGCUCACUGGCUCGAUACUGACGCUGAGGUGCGAAAGUGUGGGGAGCAAACAGGAUUAGAUACCCUGGUAGUCCACACCGUAAACGAUGAAUGCCAGUCGUCGGAUAGUAUACUAUUCGGUGACACACCUAACGGAUUAAGCAUUCCGCCUGGGGAGUACGGUCGCAAGAUUAAAACUCAAAUGAAUUGAC